GACGAACGCUGGCGGCGUGCUUAACACAUGCAAGUCGAACGGAAAGGCCUGCUUUCCCUUGUGGAUUGCGGGUACUCGAGUGGCGAACGGGUGAGUAACACGUGAGUGAUCUGCCCCCAACUUGGGUAUAAGCCUGGGAAACUGGGUCUAAUUCCCGAUAGGACUGCAGGGUGGUGCCUGUGGUGGAAAACGAUUUUCUAGUGGUUGGGGAUGAGCUCGCGGCCUAUCAGCUUGUUGGUGGGGUAAUGGCCUACCAAGGCGGCGACGGGUAGCCGGCCUGGGAGGGUGGACGGCGACAUUGGGACUGAGAGACGGCCCAGACUCCUACGGGAGGCAGCAGUGGGGAAUAUUGCACAAGGGGCGGAAGCCUGAUGCAGCGACGCCGCGUGGGGGAUGACGGCCUUCGGGUGGUAAACUCCUUUCGACCGCGAGGAAGCCACCUGGUUGGAAGGGUGGUGACGGUAGUGGUAGAAGAAGCACCGGCUAACUACGUG
This 494-nucleotide ribosomal RNA is filed under the name uncultured bacterium. RNAcentral's name for it is "partial 16S ribosomal RNA". It matches the Rfam family "Bacterial small subunit ribosomal RNA", at positions 28 to 507 of the family's 1533-position model. The record is from RNAcentral.